Molecule: long non-coding RNA, 1015 nt
Filed under: Canis lupus familiaris (dog)
Lineage: Eukaryota; Metazoa; Chordata; Mammalia; Carnivora; Canidae
Description: lncRNA (ENSCAFG00845027133.1)
Source: RNAcentral
CUGGAAGUUGUAGCCAGAAAGAGGAGCUGAAGGGGAGACCACACACAUAGGGACUGGGCAAAGGGCUAAGAAGGGAAGGAGGCUGGAGGAGAGAGGAGGAUGGGUGCUUCACUGCAGCCUGCCCCCAGGCCAUAAGCAGCUCUCUGGCUUGGGCACAGGUACUUACAAGAGGAAACUGAUUAGUCCAAAGGACCGGAAAUCUUAAUGGAGAUGGUGGAGUGCGCAGGGGAGAGAGAGGCCUGAAGAGCAGAGAGCAUUUUGGUGUCCCUGUUCCCAUCAUACCUCACAGGUGGCUUGCUCACUGGCCUUCCUUCUCACCCACCCCACCGCUCAGUGUUUUAGGAGGGACAAGCCUGGACCAGGAAUGUGACAGCUAUGGGAAUUUCAGGUAAUAGGGACUGGCUUCUGCUGCCUUACAAAGCUGUUGUCACCACUGGCCUUAUUUGUCUUGGAAAAGCAAACUCUUCCCUGCGGCUGGUUUAAAUGUGAGAGGGCCAACACCUGUGAGGGAGGUUCGCGUGGAGAAGGGUGAGUGGACCCAGAUCCCAUGCACACACGCAGCUGGCACCUUGGCCACCGAGGUUGCCAAGCCUGACUGCCUUGUCCUGUUUGGAGCCAUAGAGGGAAGACACCAUCAUUCUGGGCAGGCACUUGGGAAAUGGAAUCCAUCCACAAGGCAAUGAGUUAUGGGUGAAGAGGAGAUAAGCUUGCGGGAGGGAUGCCUCCACAGUCCAUCCUGCCCUCAAGUUAUCCAAAGACCUUCAGACCAGAGGGCACGCUCCCUCACCUCAUACAGCAGCUGCCACUGGGCUGGGAAGAGGCACUAGGACCGUCCCCGGAUGGAUGCUGUGGGAGCCUGUGAAAUUAGCAAGGUAUGGGGAAGGACCUCAGGGGUUAGGAAUUGACACUUAGAAUGGGGAGUGGGGGACCCCAAGGGGAAAGCAUGGAAAUGCUUCGGGUUCCCACCCCUCAGGGGGAAAGGACUAGAGAGAAGCAAGGGCAGGAGAGAAUCAGG